CCACCAUUACAUAUCGUUACUCGUAUAUCCUCGGUAAUAUGGUCUGAGCGUUUCUACCUGGUUCCCAUUAUAAGAACCAGACUACGAGUUGAAGUAUUCGGUUU
Molecule: non-coding RNA, 104 nt
Filed under: Rossellomorea vietnamensis
Lineage: Bacteria; Bacillati; Bacillota; Bacilli; Caryophanales; Bacillaceae
Description: Bacillus vietnamensis Guanine sequence
Rfam family: Purine riboswitch aptamer
About the family: Riboswitches are metabolite binding domains within certain messenger RNAs that serve as precision sensors for their corresponding targets. Allosteric rearrangement of mRNA structure is mediated by ligand binding, and this results in modulation of gene expression.
Source: Rfam by way of RNAcentral